This 773-nucleotide ribosomal RNA is filed under the name uncultured bacterium. RNAcentral's name for it is "bacterial SSU rRNA". It matches the Rfam family "Bacterial small subunit ribosomal RNA", at positions 8 to 798 of the family's 1533-position model. The record is from RNAcentral.
AGAGUUUGAUCAUGGCUCAGGACGAACGCUGGCGGCGUGCUUAACACAUGCAAGUCGAACGGAAAGGCCCUUCGGGGUACUCGAGUGGCGAACGGGUGAGUAACACGUGGGUGAUCUGCCCUGCACUUUGGGAUAAGCCUGGGAAACUGGGUCUAAUACCGAAUAGGACCGCGCGCUUCAUGGUGUGUGGUGGAAAGCUUUUGCGGUGUGGGGUGGGCCCGCGGCCUAUCAGCUUGUUGGUGGGGUAAUGGCCUACCAAGGCGACGACGGGUAGCCGGCCUGAGAGGGUGACCGGCCACACUGGGACUGAGAUACGGCCCAGACUCCUACGGGAGGCAGCAGUGGGGAAUAUUGCACAAUGGGCGCAAGCCUGAUGCAGCGACGCCGCGUGAGGGAUGACGGCCUUCGGGUUGUAAACCUCUUUCACCAGGGACGAAGCGCAAGUGACGGUACCUGGAGAAGAAGCACCGGCCAACUACGUGCCAGCAGCCGCGGUAAUACGUAGGGUGCGAGCGUUGUCCGGAAUUACUGGGCGUAAAGAGCUCGUAGGUGGUUUGUCGCGUUGUUCGUGAAAACUCACAGCUUAACUGUGGGCGUGCGGGCGAUACGGGCAGACUAGAGUACUGCAGGGGAGACUGGAAUUCCUGGUGUAGCGGUGGAAUGCGCAGAUAUCAGGAGGAACACCGGUGGCGAAGGCGGGUCUCUGGGCAGUAACUGACGCUGAGGAGCGAAAGCGUGGGGAGCGAACAGGAUUAGAUACCCCGGUAGUCCAA